ACAGAACAAUGGCGUCUCGUAGCCCCAGGCGACAGCGUGGCGGGGCGGGUCUGUCGAUUGGAUGAACGCAGCUGAGAUUACUCCCAGCCACUAAGGACGAAGAGGUGGGGCGGUGGCGUCCCACGCACCGUGCGACAGUGGGCGGGGCUCUGUUGCCUGAGUAACCGGAUGAUGGUGGUGGUGGUGGUGUCUUCCUGUCUCAACGAUACCUAUUUUCUAGUGCUGAGAUCCUGAGACAAUGAAUCAUAGUGAAAGAUUCGUUUUCAUUGCAGAGUGGUAUGAUCCAAAUGCUUCACUUCUUCGACGUUAUGAGCUUUUAUUUUACCCAGGGGAUGGAUCUGUUGAAAUGAACGCUAGCCCUAAUUAAACCAGACGCAGUAUCAAAGGCUGGAGAAAUAAUUGAAAUAAUAAACAAAGCUGGAUUUACUAUAACCAAACUCAAAAUGAUGAUGCUUUCAAGGAAAGAAGCAUUGGAUUUUCAUGUAGAUCACCAAUCAAGACCCUUUUUCAAUGAGCUGAUCCAGUUUAUUACAACUGGUCCUAUUAUUGCCAUGGAGAUUUUAAGAGAUGAUGCUAUAUGUGAAUGGAAAAGACUGCUGGGACCUGCAAACUCUGGAGUGGCACGCACAGAUGCUCCUGAAAGCAUUAGAGCCCUCUUUGGAACAGAUGGCAUAAGAAAUGCAGCGCAUGGCCCUGAUUCUUUUGCUUCUGCGGCCAGA
RNAcentral lists this small RNA (719 nucleotides) under Pongo abelii (Sumatran orangutan). Its description in RNAcentral is "processed transcript". Lineage: Eukaryota; Metazoa; Chordata; Mammalia; Primates; Hominidae. The record is from RNAcentral.